This is a long non-coding RNA of Anolis carolinensis (green anole), 1887 nucleotides long. Lineage: Eukaryota; Metazoa; Chordata; Lepidosauria; Squamata; Anolidae. The record is from Ensembl.
AUGGCAGCCAUCAUGGGAGCCUCUAAAUCUCAGAACAAAGCAGCAAGUCUGGACAAUGGAGGCAGAACAAAGCAGCAAGUCUGGACAAUGGAGGCAGAAAUCCCAGGACUAACAGAGCAAUUUCACAAUUCCAGCAUUGUUUUAAAAAUGAGAUAUAACAACUUCGGAAUAUUGGGGAGGGUGGAGGAGAAUUCCAUCUCUUGGCAUGAUCUUACUGUAGUGGAAAACAUCAAUCCCACCAAGCUACUCAGCUCACCUUUAAAAAAGAAAGUCCCAGCAGCAUCUGCCAGACCCCAUGCAAGAUGUUUUGGAUCAUAGAGAUGCAAAAUGGUGGUCAUGACGCCAAGACAUUUGCUGUUGUUGCUCCUUUCAGUGAAAGCAAGGGCAUGUCAGAAAAAAGGAUGCUAAUGAAUAGGUCCAAACAAGUAGCUUUUCAAUGUUCUGGAUACACAUGAACAUCCUGGAAACAAUUAUCAGAGUGGGUUUUGUGCACUCCUUUAAAUGUUGGACAGUAUUAAGAAAUUAAAUUGUUGUUACAUUGCUUCACAAACUAAGAUAGGUAGUAUCAUUUGAUGAAUAGCUUGUGUUUUGUGUACAGAUUGUCCUUUUUGUAUUUGUUCUGUGUCUACAUCUAUAUGUGUAUGUGUGCUCUUAGCUUCAAAAGAGGAAAAACUGGUUUUGUGCAGAGAUACACAUUUUAUACACAAUGUGUUUGGUACACUUUGCAACAACUAGCAGAGGUCUUUUAAGUGAGUCAGUAAAUCCUCAAGGUAUGGUCUUGUUUUUCUGCAGCCCCAUCUACACUGCCAUAUAAUGCAGUUUCAUGGCUGCAUUGAACUGCAUUAUAUGAGUCCACACUGCAUAAUGCAAUUCAAUACAGUUCAACUGCAUUAUGAAACUGCAUUAUAUGGCAGUGUAGAUGGGGCCUGAGAAGUCAAAUUCAACACAUUAACCACAGGAUUUCUAUAUACUCUUAAGUACUAGUCCACCAUUUUGUCUUGACUUAUAUACCUUACCUCAAAGUGUGUUCAGAAGUACUCAUUACAUUGGGCGAGAGUUUGUCUACUGUCUCUUAGAUUAAAAGACAAUAUGAUAAUAUAUUUUCCAUUUUUCUUCCACUAGGGGAAUAUUUUUAAGACUAAUCUAUAACUAUUUUGUAUUCUUAUUCUCAGUGCCCUCUGUGAAGUAUUCAGUGACAUAGUAAUAAUGGGCAUUGAUAGAGUCAUCUUUGAUUGCUUAAGCCUCUUUCAAAGUCUGUCUGACUGUGCAAUCAUUGCCAUACUGUUUAGAAGUGGAAUUGAUAAUUUAAUUACAGGUUCCAUAAGUACCUUGUCAAUUUUUAUAUUUAGGUCUCAGCUGAAACAUAAAACAUGCCAUUGGAAUUAUCGUUAAUCUAACUACUGGUUGUAUCAUUUUGUCUCAAUGAACAUUAGUAUCAAAAUUGUAACACAGCAAUUUAACCAUCCCCAUUAAGUGACAUGAAACUAUUUAUGCUAUUCACACCUUUUCCUUAAUUUCUUUUUGUAUCACAUGCAUAUAAAAUGAAAUAUAUAGUCAGCAUUAUUUCUCAUUUCUUUAUAGCUAGAAAUAUGUGUAGACUUUAAAACUAUCCUCAAUUAGUCAAUUAGUAUUUAGCCAGUCAGAUAUUGAGCUUGCCAAAGCAGUUUCUCCAGUGCCACUAUUGUCUGAAUGUUUGACUUUCUUUAUUAACAGAAAGGUGGGAUAAAAAAAGUAAAUAAUAAUAAUGUUUCCAGUUUUGGCAAUAUGGUUCUUAGUGGUCAACUAGUUUUUAAGCAGUAAAAAAAUGUUUUUUUUUAAGUCUUCUUAUUUUCAAGAUUUGACAUAAAAGCUUUAAUAAUAUCUAGACACAUGAGAAAACUUUACUUG